UACGGGGGGGGCGAGCGUUGUUCGGAAUUACUGGGCGUAAAGGGCGCGUAGGCGGUUGGAUAAGUCAGCUGUGAAAACCACGAGCUCAACUUGUGGCCUGCAGUUGAGACUGUCUGGCUAGAGUGUGGGAGAGGGAAGUGGAAUUUCCGGUGUAGCGGUGAAAUGCGUAGAUAUGACAUAGAACACCAAUUGCGAAGGCAGCUUACUUCACGAUUAUUGACACUGAGGCACGAAAGCGUGGGGAGCAAACAGG
Molecule: ribosomal RNA, 253 nt
Filed under: uncultured bacterium
Lineage: Bacteria
Description: partial 16S ribosomal RNA
Rfam family: Bacterial small subunit ribosomal RNA
Source: RNAcentral